CCUCCACCUCCGCCUCCGCUGCUUUCUUCGGCGAGAGAGAAAAAAAAUGAACGAGAGAAAAGAAGAGGAGAGAGAAAGAGGAGAGAGAAAAAGUAAUAAGGGUAUUUUGGUCAGUUUUCUAAAAAUUUAGACUGAAUCUGCAAAAUCAAAAGUUUUGUAAAAGCUCAAAAUUUAUGAAUUUUUUAUGCAAAUUGGCCAAAAAAGAAACUGAGAGAUUUUGUUGUUAAGAAAGCUGAGAGAAUAUUAAUUAGUAAAAAUAUAUAUGUAUUGGAGGUGGUGGGCGUAUUUCAAAAUUGCCAGCAGAUAAAGAAGUCUUCAU
RNAcentral lists this long non-coding RNA (319 nucleotides) under Ananas comosus (pineapple). Its description in RNAcentral is "long non-coding RNA (ACOM_LNC000753)". The record is from RNAcentral. Lineage: Eukaryota; Viridiplantae; Streptophyta; Magnoliopsida; Poales; Bromeliaceae.